Molecule: ribosomal RNA, 279 nt
Filed under: uncultured bacterium
Lineage: Bacteria
Description: partial 16S ribosomal RNA
Rfam family: Bacterial small subunit ribosomal RNA
Source: RNAcentral
UUUUGCCUACGGGGGGCAGCAGUGGGGAAUAUUGCACAAUGGGGGAAACCCUGAUGCAGCGACGCCGCGUGAGUGAAGAAGUAUUUCGGUAUGUAAAGCUAUAUCAGCAGGGAAGAAGAAAGACGGUACCUGACUAAGAAGCCCCGGCUAACUACGUGCCAGCAGCCGCGGUAAUACGCAGGGGGCAAGCGUUAUCCGGAUUUACUGGGCGUAAAGGGAGCGUAGACGGCUGUGCAAGUCUGAAGUGAAAGCCCAGGGCUCAACCCCGGGACUGCUUUG